CAAUAGCGUAUAUUAAAGUUGUUGCAGUUAAAAAGCUCGUAGUUGGAUUUGUGGUGUGCUUCGGCGGCCCGUCACUAUGUGAUGGAGCUUGCUGAAGUCGCCAUCCUUGGGUGGAUCCUGUGUGGCAUUAAGUUGUCGUGUAGGGGAUGCCCAUCGUUUACUGUGAAAAAAUUAGAGUGUUCAAAGCAGGCUUAUGCCGUUGAAUAUAUUAGCAUGGAAUAAUAAGAUAGGACCUUGGUACUAUUUUGUUGGUUUGCGCACCAAGGUAAUGAUUAAUAGGGACAGUUGGGGGUAUUCGUAUUUCAUUGUCAGAGGUGAAAUUCUUGGAUUUUUGAAAGACGAACUACUGCGAAAGCAUUUACCAAGGAUGUUUNCAUUA
Molecule: ribosomal RNA, 379 nt
Filed under: uncultured eukaryote
Lineage: Eukaryota
Description: partial 18S ribosomal RNA
Rfam family: Eukaryotic small subunit ribosomal RNA
Source: RNAcentral